This is a small nucleolar RNA of Meriones unguiculatus (Mongolian gerbil), 128 nucleotides long. Lineage: Eukaryota; Metazoa; Chordata; Mammalia; Rodentia; Muridae. The record is from Ensembl.
AGCACUUCUGUGUGCUUUUGUUCAACUGUUAGACAUAAGCAUGAAAGACAGGUGCAAAAAUAAAUCCUGUAUUGCAAUCCAGAACCCACUGUUCAGUAGGAGUUUUGACACAUACAGAAAGGAAUAUG